ACNUGCAGUCGAGCGGACAGAUGGGAGCUUGCUCCCUGAUGUUAGCGGCGGACGGGUGAGUAACACGUGGNUAACCUGCCUGUAAGACUGGGAUAACUCCGGGAAACCGGGGCUAAUACCGGAUGCUUGUUUGAACCGCAUGGUUCAAACAUAAAAGGUGGCUUCGGCUACCACUUACAGAUGGACCCGCGGCGCAUUAGCUAGUUGGUGAGGUAACGGCUCACCAAGGCAACGAUGCGUAGCCGACCUGAGAGGGUGAACGNCCANACUGGGACUGAGACACGNNCNAGACUNNUACGGGAGGCAGCAGUAGGGAAUCUUCCGCAAUGGACGAAAGUCUGACGGAGCAACGCCGCGUGAGUGAUGAAGGUUUUCGGAUCGUAAAGCUCUGUUGUUAGGGAAGAACAAGUACCGUUCGAAUAGGGCGGUACCUUGACGGUACCUAACCAGAAAGCCACGGCUAACUACGUGCCAGCAGCCGCGGUAAUACGUAGGUGGCAAGCGUUGUCCGGAAUUAUUGGGCGUAAAGGGCUCGCAGGCGGUUCCUUAAGUCUGAUGUGAAAGCCCCCGGCUCAACCGGGGAGGGUCAUUGGAAACUGGGGAACUUGAGUGCAGAAGAGGAGAGUGGAAUUCCACGUGUAGCGGUGAAAUGCGUAGAGAUGUGGAGGAACACCAGUGGCGAAGGCGACUCUCUGGUCUGUAACUGACGCUGAGGAGCGAAAGCGUGGGNAGCGAACAGGAUUAGAUACCCUGGUAGUCCACGCCGUAAACGAUGAGUGCUAAGUGUUAGGGGGUUUCCGCCCCUUAGUGCUGCAGCUAACGCAUUAAGCACUCCGCCUGGGGANUACGGUCGCAAGACUGANACUCAAAGGAAUUGACGGGGGGCCCGCACAAGCGGNGGNAGCAUGUGGGUUUAAUUC
This 920-nucleotide ribosomal RNA is filed under the name Bacillus sp. (in: firmicutes). RNAcentral's name for it is "bacterial SSU rRNA". It matches the Rfam family "Bacterial small subunit ribosomal RNA", at positions 53 to 952 of the family's 1533-position model. Lineage: Bacteria; Bacillati; Bacillota; Bacilli; Caryophanales; Bacillaceae. The record is from RNAcentral.